UCACAGUUUGCACUGGCAGUCUUGUUAGAGUCCCCUUGCGGGGUCGUUCCGCUUUCACGGUCCUACCACAUGCAUGUCAAGGCCAGGUAAGGUUCUUCGCGUUGCAUCGAAUUAAGCCACAUACUCCACCGCUUGUGCAGGCCCCCGUCAAUUUCUUUGAGUUUUAAUCUUGCGACCGUACUCCCCAGGCGGCGCAUUUAUCGCGUUAGCUUCGCCACAGAAGGGGUCGAUUCCUCCUACAGCAAAUGCGCACCGUUUAGGGCCGGGACUAC
RNAcentral lists this unclassified non-coding RNA (272 nucleotides) under uncultured Verrucomicrobiae bacterium. RNAcentral describes it as "contains 16S-23S intergenic spacer region". The record is from RNAcentral. Lineage: Bacteria; Pseudomonadati; Verrucomicrobiota; Verrucomicrobiia.